GAUGAACGCUGGCGGCGUGCCUAAUACAUGCAAGUCGAGCGAACAGACGAGGAGCUUGCUCCUCUGACGUUAGCGGCGGACGGGUGAGUAACACGUGGAUAACCUACCUAUAAGACUGGGAUAACUUCGGGAAACCGGAGCUAAUACCGGAUAAUAUAUUGAACCGCAUGGUUCAAUAGUGAAAGACGGUUUUGCUGUCACUUAUAGAUGGAUCCGCGCCGCAUUAGCUAGUUGGUAAGGUAACGGCUUACCAAGGCAACGAUGCGUAGCCGACCUGAGAGGGGGAUCGGCCACACGGGAACUGAAACACGGUCCAGACCCCUAGGGGAGGCAGAAGUAGGGAAUCUUCCGCAAUGGGGGAAAGCCUGACGGAGCAACGCCGGGUGAGUGAUGAAGGUCUUCGGAUCGUAAAACUCUGUUAUUAGGGAAAAAAAAAUGUGUAAGUAACUAUGCACGUCUUGACGGUACCUAAUCAGAAAGCCACGGCAAACUACGU
This 496-nucleotide ribosomal RNA is filed under the name uncultured bacterium. RNAcentral's name for it is "partial 16S ribosomal RNA". It matches the Rfam family "Bacterial small subunit ribosomal RNA", at positions 28 to 506 of the family's 1533-position model. The record is from RNAcentral.